UAGUCCACGCCGUAAACGAUGAACACUAGGUGUGGCGGAUUUAUUCACGUCCGCUGUGCCGUAGCUAACGCAUUAAGUGUUCCGCCUGGGGAGUACGGCCGCAAGGCUAAAACUCAAAGGAAUUGACGGGGCCCCGCACAAGCGGCGGAGCAUGCGGCUUAAUUCGAUGCAACCCGAAGAACCUUACCUGGGUCUGACAUCAUGGGUCUAGCUGUGGAAACACAGUGUGCUUAGGCGCCCAUGACAGGUGGUGCAUGGCUGUCGUCAGCUCGUGUCGUGAGAUGUUGGGUUAAGUCCCGCAACGAGCGCAACCCUUGUCCUAUGUUGCCAGCACGUAAUGGUGGGGACUCAUGGGAGACUGCCGGGGACAACUCGGGAGGAAGGGCGAGGGGACGAUGUCAAGUCAUCAUGCCCCUUAUAUCCAGGGGCUGCACGCAUGCUACAAUGGGGCGGUACAA
RNAcentral lists this ribosomal RNA (458 nucleotides) under uncultured bacterium. RNAcentral's name for it is "bacterial SSU rRNA". It matches the Rfam family "Bacterial small subunit ribosomal RNA", at positions 791 to 1242 of the family's 1533-position model. The record is from RNAcentral.